This 70-nucleotide transfer RNA is filed under the name Dipodomys ordii (Ord's kangaroo rat). It matches the Rfam family "tRNA". Rfam says of the family: Transfer RNA (tRNA) molecules are approximately 80 nucleotides in length. Their secondary structure includes four short double-helical elements and three loops (D, anti-codon, and T loops). The record is from Rfam by way of RNAcentral. Lineage: Eukaryota; Metazoa; Chordata; Mammalia; Rodentia; Heteromyidae.
GGGAAUGUGACUUAGUGGUAUGGUGCUUGCCUAGCAUGCAUGAAGCCCUGGGUUCAAUUUCUCAGCACCA